Long non-coding RNA from Spinacia oleracea (spinach), 671 nucleotides. RefSeq lists it as uncharacterized. NCBI's taxonomy places the organism in Eukaryota, Viridiplantae, Streptophyta, Magnoliopsida, Caryophyllales, Amaranthaceae. The record is from RefSeq and is a predicted model, not a curated record. The transcript has 2 exons.
AUGGAUUCAAUUUUCGGGUCCUAUAAAAUCCUAAUUUUCACCAAACUUGAAACCCUAAUUCACUUUCUCUCUCCUCCUGUGUGCUCUCUCUCUCUCUCUCCCCCAAGAUCUCUCUACUCUCUCUCUCUCUCCUCAGGAUAUCAUUUGUGCCGACAAGGUUGAAGCAUGGGACGACGGCGACGAAGGAUGGUGACGGCGGCGAUGACGACGAAGGAUGGUGAUCUCGGCGGUCGUCAAACUACCGGAAACUAAUCCCAAUCUCGCAGAUGUGGAUGCAACGACGGAUGCGCUAAGAGUGGUGGUUGUGGCUGGUUCCCGACGCCGAGUAUUUCAUUCGAUUCACCGUCGAUGAGAGGGAGGAAGGAGAAUUUGGUGCUACCGCGCGUUGGUGUUGGUUUUGUUGAACCUUCGGUGGUGGCGGAUGGUUGUGAGUUGUUGUUGGUGUUGUGGCGAGAUGUCGAGUAGAGUAACUGGUGCUUACUGCUCCAGUUCAUGCUUUACAAGCCUCUAAUAUGAUUUUGGAUUUGUAUUGUAAAUGUAAACUAAUUUUGUUUUGUGUUAUUUAUUUUAGUAAUGUUUAAAUUAGUUAUAGUUAAGAAUUAUUCUAUUUUAGUUAUACUUUUGGUAUAUUUAAUUAUGAAAUAAAAUGAUUUAGUUACAUUGUUUUUUCA